CCAGGAAGGAAAAUCUCCAUCAGAAUCAGAACCAGAACUAGGAAGGAAGACCUCCAAAAGAACUAGAACUAGGAAAGAAAACGUCCUUCAGAACCAGAACCAGGAAG
Long non-coding RNA from Melanotaenia boesemani (Boeseman's rainbowfish), 107 nucleotides. RefSeq lists it as uncharacterized. NCBI's taxonomy places the organism in Eukaryota, Metazoa, Chordata, Actinopteri, Atheriniformes, Melanotaeniidae. The record is from RefSeq and is a predicted model, not a curated record. The transcript has 2 exons.